This 362-nucleotide transfer RNA is filed under the name uncultured Microcystis sp. RNAcentral describes it as "partial 16S-23S ribosomal RNA intergenic spacer". The stretch from base 135 to 208 matches the Rfam family "tRNA". The record is from RNAcentral. Lineage: Bacteria; Bacillati; Cyanobacteriota; Cyanophyceae; Chroococcales; Microcystaceae.
AAGGGAGACCUAAUUCAGGUAGGAGACGAAAAAAAAGUAGUCCCAACCAAGAAUCAAUCCCAAAAGGUCGGAGCGAGGCGAAAUUGGCUUUCAAACUAGGUUCUGGGUUCACACAAGACCUGAACCAGGAACAAGGGCUAUUAGCUCAGGUGGUUAGAGCGCACCCCUGAUAAGGGUGAGGUCCCUGGUUCGAGUCCAGGAUGGCCCACCUGCACAGGUGGCAAAAACAAGAGAAGCGAGGAAUCAGCACCUUAUCUUAUCUAUAUAUAUAUAGGAGAGAAUGCUGGCUCUGAGUAAAGAGUCCAGAGGAACCUUGAAAACUGCAUAGAGCUAGGUGAAAAAGCCAAAAAAGAAGACCGCAA